This 119-nucleotide ribosomal RNA is filed under the name Propithecus coquereli (Coquerel's sifaka). The record is from RNAcentral. Lineage: Eukaryota; Metazoa; Chordata; Mammalia; Primates; Indriidae.
GUCUAUGGCCAUACCACCUUGAAUGUGCCAGAUGUCACCUGAUCUCAGAGGCUAAGCAGGGUCGGACCUGGUUAGCACUUGGAUGGGGAACCGCCUGAGAAUACCGGGUGCUGCAGGCU